CCUACGGGAGGCAGCAGUGGGGAAUUUUGGACAAUGGGCGCAAGCCUGAUCCAGCAAUGCCGCGUGCAGGAUGAAGGCCUUCGGGUUGUAAACUGCUUUUGUACGGAACGAAACGGCUCUUUCUAAUAAAGAGAGCUAAUGACGGUACCGUAAGAAUAAGCACCGGCUAACUACGUGCCAGCAGCCGCGGUAAUACGUAGGGUGCGAGCGUUAAUCGGAAUUACUGGGCGUAAAGCGUGCGCAGGCGGUUAUAUAAGACAGAUGUGAAAUCCCCGGGCUCAACCUGGGACCUGCAUUUGUGACUGUAUAGCUAGAGUACGGUAGAGGGGGAUGGAAUUCCGCGUGUAGCAGUGAAAUGCGUAGAUAUGCGGAGGAACACCGAUGGCGAAGGCAAUCCCCUGGACCUGUACUGACGCUCAUGCACGAAAGCGUGGGGAGCAAACAGGAUUAGAUACCCUGGUAGUCCACGCCCUAAACGAUGUCAACUGGUUGUUGGGUCUUCACUGACUCAGUAACGAAGCUAACGCGUGAAGUUGACCGCCUGGGGAGUCGGCCGCAAGGUCGAAACUCAAAUGAAUUGACGGCUGAGAGNGCGAGCGACGACGAGGGAGGAGG
RNAcentral lists this ribosomal RNA (615 nucleotides) under uncultured bacterium. RNAcentral describes it as "bacterial SSU rRNA". It matches the Rfam family "Bacterial small subunit ribosomal RNA", at positions 338 to 947 of the family's 1533-position model. The record is from RNAcentral.